CUUUCAGUAGGGAAGAAGCCCCUUUUUGGGGUGACGGUACUUGCAGAAGAAGCGCCGGCUAACUACGUGCCAGCAGCCGCGGUAAUACGUAGGGCGCAAGCGUUAUCCGGAAUUAUUGGGCGUAAAGAGCUCGUAGGCGGUUUGUCGCGUCUGCCGUGAAAGUCCGAGGCUCAACCUCGGAUCUGCGGUGGGUACGGGCAGACUAGAGUGAUGUAGGGGAGACUGGAAUUCCUGGUGUAGCGGUGAAAUGCGCAGAUAUCAGGAGGAACACCGAUGGCGAAGGCAGGCCUCUGGGCAUUUACUGACGCUGAGGAGCGAAAGCAUGGGGAGCGAACAGGAUUAGAUACCCUGGUAGUCCAUGCCGUAAACGUUGGGCACUAGGUGUGGGGGACAUUCCACGUUUUCCGCGCCGUAGCUAACGCAUUAAGUGCCCCGCCUGGGGAGUACGGCCGCAAGGCUAAAACUCAAAGGAAUUGACGGGGGCCCGCACAAGCGGCGGAGCAUGCGGAUUAAUUCGAUGCAACGCGAAGAACCUUACCAAGGCUUGACAUGUUCCAGACCGGGCCAGAGAUGGUCUUUCCCCUUUUGGGGCUGGUUCACAGGUGGUGCAUGGUUGUCGU
This 620-nucleotide ribosomal RNA is filed under the name uncultured bacterium. RNAcentral describes it as "bacterial SSU rRNA". It matches the Rfam family "Bacterial small subunit ribosomal RNA", at positions 433 to 1055 of the family's 1533-position model. The record is from RNAcentral.